GACGGAGGGUGCUAGCGUUGUUCGGAAUUACUGGGCGUAAAGGGCGCGUAGGCGGGCUCCCAAGUCUGGGGUGAAAUCUUUCGGCUUAACCGGAAAAGUGCCUCGGAUACUGGGAGCCUUGAGGGAGGCAGGGGCGGAUGGAACUUCCGGUGGAGCGGUGAAAUGCGUUGAUAUCGGAGGGAACGCCGGUGGCGAAAGCGAUCCGCUGGACCUCUUCUGACGCUGAGGCGCGAAAGCCAGGGGAGCAAACGGG
Molecule: ribosomal RNA, 253 nt
Filed under: uncultured bacterium
Lineage: Bacteria
Description: partial 16S ribosomal RNA
Rfam family: Bacterial small subunit ribosomal RNA
Source: RNAcentral